UAACGAAUCAACUCGUGAACCGAUUCGCGGGUUCACGAGUUGAAACGGUUCAUUUUUAUUUUAUUUUAUAAUUUAUUUUUUAUGUUUUUUAAUCAAAUAUUUGUUUUAAAUAAUCAUUUUAUUUUAUAAAUAAAAGAAGUCAAGAGAAAAGAAGUCAGGAAAAAAUAAAAUAAAGCAUGAAACAAAGGGUCCUGGAACUCGCAGGCGGGCGGGCUGAAUGAUUCGUUCGAUUCGCAUGAUUCGUUCGAUUCGUGUAAUAAUUCGUCUGAUUCAAAUUGCACAAGUUUCUUACUAUUUACAAACUUUGAAAGUGAUUUUUAUUAAAUAAUUAUUCAAACUAACGCUGGGCAUUUGAAUAUAUAAAACUCGAUAUUUACCUUCCUCCUCGAUUCAUAUUUACAUGUACAUUAAAUUAUAGAACAUUAUUUAAUAUUAUAAAAUAGGUCCUUAGACUUUUUAAAUUAUUUUGAUGUAUGAAUUAAUUUUUAGAAUUAUUAUUAAAUUGUUAUUUUAAUAUAAACUCUAAUUUUAUAACUCUAAUGACUUUGUAGAUGUUAAUAUAUUUAUUUAAUAUUAAAUAAAAGUAGGAAGAUAAAAAGUUAAAGAAAAUAUUAAAAAAUUUAACGUUUGACUGAUUCGUUGACCGGCUCGUUCGAUGAUUCGUUCGGCUCGUUCGUUCGAUGAUUCGUUUGGGUCAGAUUCUUUUGAUUCGCGGGCCGGUUCCGGGCCGGUUCCGAGUUCCUACCUAAUGAUUCGUAUUCGAUUCGUAAAAUUUAACGAGUCGGGCCGGGCCGAAUCAAACCCGCCACGAGUCGAAUUUUAACGAAUUUUUAUCCGGUCCGGUUCCGAACGAGCGGUUCGAACCCGCUCAUUUGGCCACCUCUAGUU
RNAcentral lists this long non-coding RNA (888 nucleotides) under Daucus carota (carrot). RNAcentral's name for it is "long non-coding RNA (DCAR_LNC004941)". The record is from RNAcentral. Lineage: Eukaryota; Viridiplantae; Streptophyta; Magnoliopsida; Apiales; Apiaceae.